UACGUAGGGUGCAAGCGUUAAUCGGAAUUACUGGGCGUAAAGCGUGCGCAGGCGGUUGUGCAAGACAGAUGUGAAAUCCCCGGGCUCAACCUGGGAAUUGCAUUUGUGACUGCACGGCUAGAGUGUGUCAGAGGGGGGGUAGAAUUCCACGUGUAGCAGUGAAAUGCGUAGAGAUGUGGAGGAAUACCGAUGGCGAAGGCAGCCUCCUGGGCCAACACUGACGCUCAUGCACGAAAGCGUGGGGGAGCAAACAGG
This 255-nucleotide ribosomal RNA is filed under the name uncultured bacterium. RNAcentral's name for it is "partial 16S ribosomal RNA". It matches the Rfam family "Bacterial small subunit ribosomal RNA", at positions 524 to 776 of the family's 1533-position model. The record is from RNAcentral.